This 465-nucleotide ribosomal RNA is filed under the name Vreelandella stevensii. RNAcentral's name for it is "partial 16S ribosomal RNA". It matches the Rfam family "Bacterial small subunit ribosomal RNA", at positions 338 to 795 of the family's 1533-position model. The record is from RNAcentral. Lineage: Bacteria; Pseudomonadati; Pseudomonadota; Gammaproteobacteria; Oceanospirillales; Halomonadaceae.
CCUACGGGUGGCUGCAGUGGGGAAUAUUGGACAAUGGGCGAAAGCCUGAUCCAGCCAUGCCGCGUGUGUGAAGAAGGCCUUCGGGUUGUAAAGCACUUUCAGUGGGGAAGAAAGCCUUGGGGCUAAUACCCUCGAGGAAGGACAUCACCCACAGAAGAAGCACCAGCUAACUCCGUGCCAGCAGCCGCGGUAAUACGGAGGGUGCGAGCGUUAAUCGGAAUUACUGGGCGUAAAGCGCGCGUAGGCGGUCUGAUAAGCCGGUUGUGAAAGCCCCGGGCUCAACCUGGGAACGGCAUCCGGAACUGUCAGGCUAGAGUGCAGGAGAGGAAGGUAGAAUUCCCGGUGUAGCGGUGAAAUGCGUAGAGAUCGGGAGGAAUACCAGUGGCGAAGGCGGCCUUCUGGACUGACACUGACGCUGAGGUGCGAAAGCGUGGGUAGCAAACAGGAUUAGAUACCCGAGUAGUC